This 458-nucleotide ribosomal RNA is filed under the name uncultured bacterium. RNAcentral describes it as "partial 16S ribosomal RNA". It matches the Rfam family "Bacterial small subunit ribosomal RNA", at positions 338 to 795 of the family's 1533-position model. The record is from RNAcentral.
CCUACGGGGGGCAGCAGUGAGGAAUAUUGGUCAAUGGGCGAGAGCCUGAACCAGCCAAGUCGCGUGAGGGAGUACUGCCCUAUGGGUUGUAAACCUCUUUUGUCGGGGAGCAAAAGCCGGACGUGUCCGGCUGUGAGAGUACCCGAAUAAAAAGCAUCGGCUAACUCCGUGCCAGCAGCCGCGGUAAUACGGAGGAUGCGAGCGUUAUCCGGAUUUAUUGGGUUUAAAGGGGGCGCAGGCGGAUGUUUAAGUCAGCGGUAAAAUCGUGGGGCUCAACCCCAUCCAGCCGUUGAAACUGGGGAUCUAGAGUGUGCGAGAGGUAUGCGGAAUGCGUGGUGUAGCGGUGAAAUGCAUAGAUAUCACGCAGAACCCCGAUUGCGAAGGCAGCAUACCGGUGCACAACUGACGCUCAGGCACGAAAGCGUGGGUAUCGAACAGGAUUAGAUACCCCGGUAGUC